RNAcentral lists this long non-coding RNA (1947 nucleotides) under Parus major (Great Tit). RNAcentral describes it as "lncRNA (ENSPMJG00000011572.1)". The record is from RNAcentral. Lineage: Eukaryota; Metazoa; Chordata; Aves; Passeriformes; Paridae.
AUGUUAAUACAAACAAUGGCUCUGUGCUUUUCCCUGGCAUUGAUGGCCUUGCUGUGCUGGGGGAGCUAUCUUGUGGAGACAAUGAGGGAAUACAUCUCUCUCUUCCUACCCGGGAUUGAUGUGGAUUCUUUUAUUAUGCAGGCUCCCACAGUCCUUGCUCAUCCUUACAUGAUCUGUUUAAUUAGUACUGUAAGCAUAUCAUGGGCUUUGUGGAAUCUGGUAUCAUGGUGGUGUACGAGAAAACAAAUUUUGAGUGAGGUGAUACCAAAAUGUUCCCCGAAGAAGUCAGUUCCUGGGUGGCAGGGUGUGUGGAAGGAUUUGGGCAGGUUCCUAGGGCGGUUAUCACCUCCCAUUGCCUGGGAGUUUACACCUGAGCAGGUAAUCAACCCUGACAAACUGACCUGUCAGCUGAUAGAGGGGUGCCUUGCCCAACCUGAUGAAAACCAGCAGCUUCUGGCCCUGUGCUGGGGCCUGGCCUGUGCCUACCGAGCCACUGUUCAGCACUCCCAGAGGACUGUGACCGAGGCAGGGACCCAAACUGUGUUUGAGAACAUGAUGGUUGAGACAGGAACCCAGACCACAACAACCACUGUAACUGUCCCUGUAAUGGAAAAGAAAAGGUGGACAAGGAGAGUUACAAGUCUUUAUCAUCAAUUAGAAAGGGAGGAAGAAGAAGAAGAGGAAAAAAAAGAAGAGGAGAAAGAAAAAGCAAAGGAAGAAAAAGAAGAAAAAGCAAAGGAAGAAAAAGAAGAAAAAGCAAAGGAAGAAAAAGAAGAAAAAGCAAAGGAAGAAAAAGAAGAAAAAGCAAAGGAAGAAAAGGAAGAAAAAGCAAAGGAAGAAAAAGCAAGAGAAAAAGCAAAAGAAGAAAAAGAAGAAAAAACAAAGGAAGAAAAAGAAGAAAAAGAAAAGGAAGAAAAGGAAGAAGAUAAAAAAGAAGAGGAAGAAGAAAAAGGAGAAAAGGAAGAAGAAAAAGAAAAAGAGGAAGAAGAAGAAAAGGAUGAAGAAGAAGAAAAAGAAAAACAAGAAGAAUCAUCAGGAAAGGAAGGGUCUGAUCAAGAAACCAGUCCUGCAACAAAUAAAUCAAAGAAAGGAGUGAAAGAAUUCAAACAGGAGACAGAAAUUACCCAGUCUCUGACAUCAUCAGAACUUCAAGAUUUGCAGAAAGAUUACAGCCGCCAGCCAGGUGAGCGGAUUUCUGCUUGGCUGCUUCGAUGCUGGGAUUGUGGGGCUAAUGGUCACCUACUGGAAGGUAGGGAAGCCCAACAGCUGGGAUCCCUUGCUAGAGAUCGAGGAAUUGAAAGAGGAAUUGGAAAAGAGACAGCAAUCUGCAGUCUCUGGAGACGACUCCUCUCAAGUGUGAAGGCAAGACAUCCAUUUAAGGAAGAUCUUGUGAACUCCCCAGGAAAGUGGACCACGGCAGAUGAAGGUAUCCAAUACCUGAGAGAAUUAGCAGUGCUGGAAAUCAUCUAUAGUGAUUUAAAAAAUGAUAACAUCUCUAAAGAUCCAGAGGAUGUCCCUUGCACAAUGGCCAUGUGGAGGAAGGUAAUCCAAAGUGCCCCUGCAUCAUAUUCUAACAGUUUGGCAGCAAUGUAUUACCCAGAAAUGGAGACACCAACUGUAGAGAGAGUGUCUCUUUGGCUCCAAAACUUAGAAGAAACUCUUUGUACCUCCUCAUCCCUACAGGCCAGCACCUCAGCUGUCAAGGGUAGUCCAAGAAAUCAGUCUUCUCCUGCCCUGAUCAGAGGGAAAGAGAGCCCCAGACACAUGACACGUGGUGCACUGUGGUUCUUUCUGUGUGAUCAGGGGGAAGACAUGAGGAAGUGGGAUGGUGAACCCACCUUUAAGCUGGAAGCCCGUGCCCGUGAACUGAGAGAGAAAAGAGCGGAGAAAGAAGAAAGCUGUGAGAGAAGAGAGAAGAAGGGCCAUCCAACAAAGCUGUCAGUGUAG